AUAUUUAUAUAGUAAUAAAUAAUUGUUUAUAAAGGCUCUUUAUGUUAUUUUAAAUUUCUUAAAAAUAGAAGAUAUAUUUACUAGUUUUGUUAAUUAAAAGGUAGGCUUUUGUUUAAUUCUGGCGAAGCCUGUGCCAGCCGCCGCGGUUAUACAGGCAGGGUAAAAAUAUUUAUUUUAUGGAAAAAUUUUUUUUUUUGUUUUUUAGAUUAUUAAGGUGAAAUUUUUAUUGGUUUAAAGUUGAAAUGUUUUCGGAAAUUUUUUAUAUAAAAUUAGGAUUAGAUACCCUAUUAUUAAGUAUAUGUAAUAUUGGUAUUAACUUUAGUUUUGUUUAAAUCUAAAGAUUUUGGCGGUAUUUUAAGCCUUUUAGAGAAAUUUAUUCUUUAAUUGAUGUGACUCAGGUAUCUUACUUAUUCUUGUAAAGACAGUUUGUAUAUCGCUAUCAUUAAAUGAUAUUGGUUGAUUAUUAUUGGGAUUAAUUUUUAUUAUGAAUGUUAGGUCAAAAUGCAGCUAAAGAUUAAGGUUGAAAUAAAUUGCGAUAAUUUGUAUUGGUUAUAUACUGAAAGUUUAUUAAAGGAUUUAAUAGUAAGUUGAUAAAUAUUAUGUUUAGCUGAAUUUGGCUCUAAAAUAUGUACAUAUCGCCCGUCACUCUCUUUAGGAGACAAGUCGUAACACAGUAAAUGUACCGGAAGGUGUUUU
RNAcentral lists this non-coding RNA (696 nucleotides) under Ornithodoros brasiliensis. The record is from RNAcentral. Lineage: Eukaryota; Metazoa; Arthropoda; Arachnida; Ixodida; Argasidae.